UACGGGGGGGGGCAAGCGUUGUUCGGAAUUACUGGGCGUAAAGGGCUUGUAGGUGGCCAACUAAGUCAGACGUGAAAUCCCACGGCUUAACCGAGGAACUGCGUCUGAUACUGGAUGGCUUGAGUGUGGGAGAGGGAUGCGGAAUUCCAGGUGUAGCGGUGAAAUGCGUAGAUAUCUGGAGGAACACCGGUGGCGAAGGCGGCAUCCUGGACCAAUUCUGACGCUGAGGAGCGAAAGCCAGGGGAGCAAACGGG
RNAcentral lists this ribosomal RNA (254 nucleotides) under uncultured bacterium. Its description in RNAcentral is "partial 16S ribosomal RNA". It matches the Rfam family "Bacterial small subunit ribosomal RNA", at positions 524 to 776 of the family's 1533-position model. The record is from RNAcentral.